CCUGGCUGGCUAGAUGUUACUGGUUUACCAGGAGCCGCGUGGCUCGGAGAGAGGUUUCUGUUCUUUGAGGUUCCUGCAGGUGGAUCCUGUUGAGAUUUAACGCAGGUGUUUGUCCCUCAGACACCACUGAGGGCCCUCUCCUCUUUCUGUUUCUCGCUGUCCCUGAACAGUAAUAGGGUAACAUUUUCUGGUCCCCGGAAAACAGCCUGCUCUUGGCGUGUUUCUAUUGUGCAUCAUCUAUGUUUGGCCUUGACCCUCCUGUGUUCUGCACUGUGAGCAGAAUAUCAAGUGGGCUGGAGAAGCGAGCCAGGCACUGCCAGCCCAGUGUGUGCAUUGUCAGGGGGAAUAUCAUGCUACGUGCACAGAAAAUAACUUCCUUUUCUCAUUUUAUAAAUUAGCUCAGCGAUCCCUGAGAUUAUGAGCCUUUAUUCCCAUAGACAGUGCUUUAAAGGGGAAAAAGAAACAAUAACAAUGGAAUCAGAAUACAGUUCUCUGGGCAGUUCCAAUCAGGAAGCGUGGGUAGGAAUACGGUCUAGAGAUUCUUACAGCACCCAAAAGCUCUCCAUCAUCCCCGAUCCCACUUUCUCUCCUAGCCUCACCCCUACUUCGGCUGCUUUAUCACAAAAAGCUCUGAUGAAAGGCUUGUGAUCUCAGCUGGGGCUGCCGGGCUGGGGAGAAGAAAAGGGGUCCUCUUUCUAGAGGAGAAAGGUCGUGCAAAAUGCUGGAUUCCUGUGUCUGGGAGGCAGCCGACCAACCUUUUCAGAUACAGGUUUGUCCUCUGUCAUAGAAUUUGUCAUAGAAGCAGUGACAAUUUUGUCAUAGAAGCAGUGAUAAUCAGAGCGAGGAAUGUAUAAAUCAUCUGGACCUCCCCCUACAGAUGAGGAAACUGAGACCCAGAGAAGGUAAGUGACUGGGCCGAGGUCCUCACUCAGCUGACGAGGGGCUGGCCUGGGACCCCCGUGAGCCUGACUGCACUUCUCAAAGCAGAAGGGUUCCCAGGGGAGAAAAAGGCGUCUCUUUCCCAUCUCAUUUUAUUCCAAAGUACAAAACCCAUUCCUAUUUUUUCUUAAUCUACUUGUAAACUCUAAUGACUAGUUCUAGUGUUAAAUACUUCACAUAAUUUACUUAAUUAGCUAAUUGCUAACAAUGUGAAGUCAUUUUCUUUGACCUUUUAUAAUCCCCGUUCCUCCCACAGAAAACAAGGUCCUAUCAUCAGUGUUUUGGUGACAUUGGCAUAAAAAGUGAAUGGCUUGACAUAAAAGCAGAGUCUAGUUCUGGAAUGUUUGGCUUUCCUCCACUAAACACCUGGAGUAUUUGAAGGUUCAGAAAAGUAAGAAGAAGGAAGGCUGCCUCGAUUCCCUCCCUCUGAGUUUGCUACUUUUCCACCAUGGAAUCAUCAUGGUAUCACAAUAGGACUGUUGGAAAUGGCCCUGACCGGGGAGUCCUUCGGGAUCUCCUCCUCACGAAGCCUCAUGUACUCUGGUUCGGAGACGCUCAAGCCCGAGCCAACCUCGCAAGCCCAGUUGACCUAAUUCAGUCUUCUGACCAGUGGAAUGGCAUCCAGCAUCACGUCCAGCUUUAAAAGCUUUCACAAAAGAGACCUCCAGAGCUCCCAGACCUAUCACUGCACAAGGUACCCUGGACAUUAAGUUAUUGGAAAUCCGACAGUUUAACACAGUCUCCGGGUCAUCUGUUUGCUGGGGAGAAGGCAGUUGAAUAUGGGUGUGAUGUAUGCCGAGAUGGAGACAAAUGUCUUCCUUUAGGCAUCAAAACUAGGCAUCUGGGCUUUGUGGAAGGAUCUGCGGUGGCUCCCUGGGCUGGUGAAGGGCCGAAUCUCUGGCGCCUGAAGCCUGACUGGUCCCAGCCUCCACACCUCUGCCCAGAGCGGUCCUCACAGUGAGCUGCUGAGCUGACAGCUGUCUCUUUCGGAGCCCUUUGGGUCUGCCGCCCCAUGCUGUCCCCUUGAGAGAGAAGCAUGGUGCUGUAUUGAGUGCAAUGCCCAUCACCCUGUAAUCUGGCUGUAUGAGUCCGAGUUCAGUCAAGGAAAGAGAGCAACCAUGUGUUCCACACGCCGUGACGUGACAAUAUAUCGUGAUCCUCAGAGAAGGAUCUGAUUAUCAUAACCCAAAACCCACACUGAUUAAGCUAUGAACAAAUAUAUAAAUAAACAAAGAAACAUGCUGGAGUCAAAAGAAGAAGAAGAAGAAGAAGAAAAGAAGAAGAAGAAGAAGAAAAAGAAAAAGAGAAGGAUCUGAUUAUCAUAACCCAAAACCCACAUUGAGUAAGCUAUGAACAAAUAUAUAAAUAAACAAAGAAAUGUGCUGGAGUCAGAAGAAGAA
Long non-coding RNA from Prionailurus viverrinus (fishing cat), 2339 nucleotides. RefSeq lists it as uncharacterized. NCBI's taxonomy places the organism in Eukaryota, Metazoa, Chordata, Mammalia, Carnivora, Felidae. The record is from RefSeq and is a predicted model, not a curated record. The transcript is spliced from 8 exons.